Molecule: ribosomal RNA, 416 nt
Filed under: uncultured bacterium
Lineage: Bacteria
Description: bacterial SSU rRNA
Rfam family: Bacterial small subunit ribosomal RNA
Source: RNAcentral
AUGGGAACGCGAAGAACCUUACCUACUCUUGACAUCCAGAGAACUUAGCAGAGAUGCUUUGGUGCCUUCGGGAACUCUGAGACAGGUGCUGCAUGGCUGUCGUCAGCUCGUGUUGUGAAAUGUUGGGUUAAGUCCCGCAACGAGCGCAACCCUUAUCCUUUGUUGCCAGCGGUCCGGCCGGGAACUCAAAGGAGACUGCCAGUGAUAAACUGGAGGAAGGUGGGGAUGACGUCAAGUCAUCAUGGCCCUUACGAGUAGGGCUACACACGUGCUACAAUGGCGCAUACAAAGAGAAGCGACCUCGCGAGAGCAAGCGGACCUCAUAAAGUGCGUCGUAGUCCGGAUUGGAGUCUGCAACUCGACACCAUGAAGUCGGAAUCGCUAGUAAUCGUAGAUCAGAAUGCUACGGUGAAUAC